RNAcentral lists this unclassified non-coding RNA (368 nucleotides) under uncultured fungus. RNAcentral describes it as "partial contains small subunit ribosomal RNA, internal transcribed spacer 1, and 5.8S ribosomal RNA". The stretch from base 1 to 73 matches the Rfam family "Eukaryotic small subunit ribosomal RNA", at positions 1759 to 1831 of the family's 1831-position model. Lineage: Eukaryota; Fungi. The record is from RNAcentral.
GCAAACUUGGUCAUUUAGAGGAAGUAAAAGUCGUAACAAGGUUUCCGUAGGUGAACCUGCGGAAGGAUCAUUGCUGAUGCCGGCGACAGUGCGUGGUCGUUCACAAGACGACGUGGCACUGCCGCUUCACACAUCAAUAUGCCCCUUUCAGUGAACCCGGCAUUGGAGGCUGAGAGCGAGUGAGCUUUGGGGCCCAUUCGCCUUUCCCCGGUACCCUGUCACAAGGGUGAGCACAAGGGAUAGGUCUCCUCUGCCAAAACAACAUGUCUUCUCUAACCUGUAUCCCAGACUGAAGCAAAAAAAACAAUAACAUUCUUACAACUUUUAACAAUGGAUAUCUUGGCUCGCGCAUCGAUGAAGAACGCAGC